AUAUCUCUCUGUACGGGAAGGAUGAGAAGCUUCGACUAAGGUUCGAUUCGAGCGCAGCGAGAAAGCGUUGCCGCAGGCAACGACCCGAAGGGCGAAGC
This 98-nucleotide small RNA is filed under the name Salmonella enterica subsp. enterica serovar Muenchen. Its description in RNAcentral is "partial RtT sRNA". It matches the Rfam family "RtT RNA", at positions 1 to 97 of the family's 130-position model. From Rfam's summary of the family: This family represents a bacterial cis-regulatory element known as RtT RNA. The exact function of RtT is unknown although it is thought that it may be involved in changing the cellular response in relation to amino acid starvation. RNAcentral also lists the same sequence under 5 other names. The record is from RNAcentral. Lineage: Bacteria; Pseudomonadati; Pseudomonadota; Gammaproteobacteria; Enterobacterales; Enterobacteriaceae.